Molecule: ribosomal RNA, 451 nt
Filed under: uncultured bacterium
Lineage: Bacteria
Description: partial 16S ribosomal RNA
Rfam family: Bacterial small subunit ribosomal RNA
Source: RNAcentral
GUGGGGAAUAUUGGACAAUGGGCGCAAGCCUGAUCCAGCCAUGCCGCGUGUGUGAAGAAGGCCUUUUGGUUGUAAAGCACUUUAAGCGAGGAGGAGGCUCCUUUAGUUAAUACCUAAAGAGAGUGGACGUUACUCGCAGAAUAAGCACCGGCUAACUCUGUGCCAGCAGCCGCGGUAAUACAGAGGGUGCGAGCGUUAAUCGGCUUUACUGGGCGUAAAGCGUGCGUAGGCGGCUUUUUAAGUCGGAUGUGAAAUCCCUGAGCUUAACUUAGGAAUUGGAUUAGAUACUGGAAAGCUAGAUUAUGGGAGAGGAUGGUAGAAUUCCAGGUGUAGCGGUGAAAUGCGUAGAGAUCUGGAGGAAUACCGAUGGCGAAGGCAGCCAUCUGGCCUAAUACUGACGCUGAGGUACGAAAGCAUGGGGAGCAAACAGGAUUAGAAACCCGAGUAGUCC